AGUGUGGGUAUUCUUCCCAGUCUGGAGAGGUCAGGGAGUGGCAAACUCAGUGUGCUUGCAUGCACUUUGGAGAGAUAUUAUUUAUGUAUGAGACACCAGUUUAAGUGAGGAUGUUGUUGUCUCCCACUCUGCCCUGGAGUAUUUGCCCAGCAAUUACCAUCUCCUGCUGGUGUUGGCAGGCACAGGAGGAGGAUGGUGGUCUGGGAGAACCUACAAAGAGAGUGUGAAAACUUUUUGGAAUUCCAAGUGAUCUCAUUCCCAGGUUCCUGCAGGAUGUUGGGAAAGUAUGCUGUUUCCUUUCUUUCCCAGGAUUUCAUCAAGCAAGGUGGCCGUGAAGGUAUCACUUUCACUUAUCUCAGUUUAGGAAAGCUCUGAAUUCAUUGAUGAAUUAUGCUUAGAAGGCAUGAUGCACAUGUUGAACUUUUCUCCGGGACAAAUUAGGGACAUCUGAAACGGAAGUGUUUAUUUUCUUACACUUCCAGUGGCCUGGAACAGCAUCUUGGUUUUUUGGAAAGCAGGAGCUAGAGCUCUGGUUGCUAUGACUGCUUGGGUUUUCUUCCUUAUGGCUGCGAUGUCCUUGGAUCGAUACCUGGCCAUUUGCAAGCCUCUGCAUUACCCCACCAUCAUGAGUCUGAGGACUUGCUUCCACCUGGUCACUGCCUGCUUUAUCGUGGGCUUCACUCUCAUCACUGGUCUCAUGGUGAAGGUUUCCCAGUUAUCUUUCUGCAGACCCCAUGUCAUCCCUCACUUCUUCUGUGACCCCGGCCCUCUGAUCCAACUCUCCUGUUCUGACACCAGAUCUACUGAAAUGUUGGCCUUUGGCCUUGUGUCAUUCAUUCUUUUCACAUCCCUCAUUAUAACCAUCAUCGCAUACGGCAACAUAGUAGUCACAAUUGUACGACUUCUGUCAGCCAAGGAGCGGCAGAAAGCUUUCUCCACCUGCUCCUCUCACCUCAUUGUCCUCUCUCUGGUGUAUAGCAGCUGUGUCUUCAUAUAUGUGAAGCCGAAGCAAAUGGACAGGCUGGACUCCAACAGAGAGGCUGCUCUUGUGAACACAGUGGUGACCCUGCUGCUGAACCCGAUCAUUUACACUCUGCGGAACAAGCAGGUCCACCAGGCUCUGAGGGAUGGUUGGUCCAGAGUGAAAUUGUAAAAACAGAAUCACAACCUCCCAGUGAAGGAAUGCACCUUCUCCUUGAUCUAAUCCAAUCUCUCUCCUGUUUCUGGAAUCCUUUAUAAAAAAUUUGCAAAUUGUGGUUUUUUUAGUUUCUGUUUGUUUUUUCUUAGAAUAAGGGCUAAUUUAUCUAAUAAUUCAACCUGAAAGCUCUUAUAUUACCCUAUUUUGAGAUGAAAGUAUCUUCCUGAAUCUUUUUACUAGUUUUAAAUAAAUAGGAUUCAACAAAUUUUAGUGAAGAACCUCAUAUACAUGAGUCUGUUUGAUGCAUGUGGAAUUUCAAAGAUGAAAUGAUGUAGUUUUAAGUAUCUACUUGUGGUAAGUGCAAAGGGAUGAAGAACAAACUUCAUAAGUAUUAAGAGUAUCAAGUUAGUUCAAGGGUAGAUAUAACAUGGUCAUUGUGUGAAGUUUUGAAGGAAACAUAUAUACACAACUGUCAGGAUAUCAAUAUAAUUACUUAAGAUGACUCAGUACGAUUGCUUUCAAUGUUGAAUAUUCUGUAUAUAAAUCUUUACACUUUUUGUUCCCACUAUGAUAAAAACAUAUAACUGUCUCUAGAUGAAUUUGCAAGUCCUUGUUGGUUUCAUUGGUUUGCAAGAUUGAUUUCAGUGCCCACAGACCUGAAAAUGAAGCAGCACAGGGGGAGAAACAUUACAAUUUUUGGAACAAGGAAUUAAAUCGUUAAUAUUUGUUUCCCUACUACAGAAAGUUUAAAGGAAUUGGGAGAAAUAUAAUCAGAGGUGGGAAGAAGUCUGUGACUGUGAAAUCUCUCCAAAUGAAUGUAUGAACAAGUCUCUUCAUUUGUGGAACGAGAGGUUUGGUUGUGUCACCUCGGGAUGUUCAUUUUAGUACUAAUGUGAAGUGACGCUAUUGAUACUGAAUGUGACACAGAAACAUGCUGUAACAGAAAUAUAAUUUGAGAAUGGCAGAGAGAAGAUGAUGAGAUGUUUUAAUGGAAGGACUUAUGCUACAACUGAAAUUUAGUUAUUCACGAUUUUGAUAGGAAAUGAAUUAGAGACAAAACCUUGGAGCUAGGAUUUGUUUUGUGUACUUGGUUAAUGGCAAUGAUCAUGUUUUGUUUUGACCACAUAUUUCUGUGAUUGUGGUGGAACAGGAAUCAAAAGAAAUUAAAGAAUGUGUAAGCAGAAACUCAGUUGUAUGUAAGAAAGCCCAAUUCCCCCUGAGAAAGAGAAAGAGCUGGAUUCCUUUAAAAAUUAACUGCCUGUUUUAGUGUGGCUAGUAAGCCUUAUCUCUCCUCCUUUCCCAGGCAUUGUGAAGACCCUGUUUCUCUAGCUGUACAGCUGCAAGGUCACUAGACAGAUAAACUCAAGCCAUAAAACAUGCUUUUCCUUGGAAAGUAAGAAAUGUUGUAACACAUGUCUCAAUUAAUUAAAUAACUCUCUUUGUUUCUUGCUUCCGUAAUAUAUUUCCCCUGCACAGGUCUCCCCCCACCUCACGAAACGCUUAAAAGAUAACUUAACUGUUUGUUCAGGGCUCAGUCCCUUGGAUGUUAAUCUGACUGUGCUGGCACACCUAAAUAAUAAAUAUCCUCCUCAACCCCAUCGGUCUCUCUGAUUCCUUAUCAAUCCCACUACAGUGGGGAUAAUAAAAGACUAUGAUGGGAAAGUUUGAGGGACAUAAUUAUGUAAGAAUUAGGAAAACACACUUCAGUCAACUAGCAGAACCCAAAUUUUUGUUCACCCUAUGUGUAUAUAAGGAUUUUCAUACAACUUUGUGUAGACUUGUUUCUUUUUCUCACAUUUGCAGUGUUCACAUUGCUAAAGGAACUGACAGAGCAAUACCAAUGAACUGAGUGGUCAUUGCUUUUUUUGCCUUUUACAUUUUUAAACAUUGGUAGUCUGACAUAGUGAAUCAUAUUUGAUUAUCUACUUUGAAAUAAAUGGAAAAUGUAUACAAUGUUUUCACUUACUUUUAUCUACACAUAGAAAGUUACAUAGCUUAAAAAUAAUUGCAUUGUUUGUGAUUAACCCAAUUUGUUUACUACAAUUUAGUAUACUAAAGAUAUUCCACAAUUUUUAAUUCAUUUAUUUGUUGAUGCACGUUUGAGCUAUUUCUGCCUUUUGGCUAUUGUGAAUAGUACUGUUAUGAACAUGUGUGUACAUUUAUUUGUUUGAGUACUUGUUUUCAAGUCUUUGGGGGUAUAUACCUCGGAGAUAAAUUGUGAGGGUAGGGGAACAGGCAGCAAUAGCUUAAUGGGUAUGGAGAUUCCUUUGGAGAUGAUAUUAUAAAAAUGUUUUGGAACUAGAUAGAGGUGGUGGUUGCAUAACAUUUUGAACGUACUGCAUGCCGCUGAAUUGUUCACUUUUAAAUGAUUAAUUUUAUAUGUACAUUUACCUUAAUAAAAAAUUCCAUAGUUCUGAAAGUUUUA
Molecule: small RNA, 3563 nt
Filed under: Pongo abelii (Sumatran orangutan)
Lineage: Eukaryota; Metazoa; Chordata; Mammalia; Primates; Hominidae
Description: processed transcript
Source: RNAcentral